RNAcentral lists this ribosomal RNA (467 nucleotides) under uncultured bacterium. RNAcentral describes it as "partial 16S ribosomal RNA". It matches the Rfam family "Bacterial small subunit ribosomal RNA", at positions 28 to 507 of the family's 1533-position model. The record is from RNAcentral.
GACGAACGCUGGCGGCGUGCUCAACACAUGCAAGUCGAACGGAAAGGCCCUGCUUUUGUGGGGUGCUCGAGUGGCGAACGGGUGAGUAACACGUGAGUAACCUGCCCUUGACUUUGGGAUAACUUCAGGAAACUGGGGCUAAUACCGGAUAGGAGCUCCUGCUGCAUGGUGGGGGUUGGAAAGUUUCGGCGGUUGGGGAUGGACUCGCGGCUUAUCAGCUUGUUGGUGGGGUAGUGGCUUACCAAGGCUUUGACGGGUAGCCGGCCUGAGAGGGUGACCGGCCACAUGGGAAUGGAGAUACGGCCCAGACUCCUACGGGAGGCAGCAGUGGGGAAUAUGCACAAUGGGCGGAAGCCUGAUGCAGCAACGCCGCGUGCGGGAUGACGGCCUUCGGGUUGUAAACCGCUUUCGCCUGUGACGAAGCGUGAGUGACGGUAAUGGGUAAAGAAGCACCGGCUAACUACGUG